This 433-nucleotide ribosomal RNA is filed under the name uncultured bacterium. Its description in RNAcentral is "partial 16S ribosomal RNA". It matches the Rfam family "Bacterial small subunit ribosomal RNA", at positions 29 to 507 of the family's 1533-position model. The record is from RNAcentral.
AACGAACGCUGGCGGCAUGCCUAACACAUGCGAGUCGAACGAGACCUUCGGGUCUAGUGGCGCACGGGUGCGUAACGCGUGGGAACCUGCCCUUAGGUUCGGAAUAACUCCCCGAAAGGGGUGCUAAUACCGGAUAAUGUCUUCGGACCAAAGAUUUAUCGCCUUUGGAUGGGCCCGCGUUGGAUUAGCUAGUUGGUAGGGUAAAAGCCUACCAAGGCGACGAUCCAUAGCUGGUCUGAGAGGAUGAUCAGCCACACUGGGACUGAGACACGGCCCAGACUCCUACGGGAGGCAGCAGUGGGGAAUAUUGGACAAUGGGCGAAAGCCUGAUCCAGCAAUGCCGCGUGAGUGAUGAAGGCCUUAGGGUUGUAAAGCUCUUUUACCCGGGAUGAUAAUGACAGUACCGGGAGAAUAAGCGCCGGCUAACUCGGUG